UACUCGAGUGGCGAACGGGUGAGUAACACGUGGGUGAUCUGCCCUGCACUUCGGGAUAAGCCUGGGAAACUGGGUCUAAUACCGGAUAGGAGCCAUUUUUAGUGUGAUGGUUGGAAAGUUUUUUCGGUGUAGGAUGAGCUCGCGGCCUAUCAGCUUGUUGGUGGGGUAAUGGCCUACCAAGGCGGCGACGGGUAGCCGGCCUGAGAGGGUGGACGGCCACAUUAGGACUGAGAUACGGCCCAG
RNAcentral lists this ribosomal RNA (243 nucleotides) under uncultured Actinomycetales bacterium. RNAcentral describes it as "partial 16S ribosomal RNA". It matches the Rfam family "Bacterial small subunit ribosomal RNA", at positions 88 to 334 of the family's 1533-position model. Lineage: Bacteria; Bacillati; Actinomycetota; Actinomycetes; Actinomycetales. The record is from RNAcentral.